RNAcentral lists this ribosomal RNA (493 nucleotides) under uncultured bacterium. RNAcentral's name for it is "bacterial SSU rRNA". It matches the Rfam family "Bacterial small subunit ribosomal RNA", at positions 29 to 526 of the family's 1533-position model. The record is from RNAcentral.
AACGAACGCUGGCGGCAUGCCUAACACAUGCAAGUCGAACGGACUAUGAGGGCUUGCUCUUAUAGUUAGUGGCGAACGGGUGAGUAACGCGUGUGAAUCUGCCCUAGAGUGGGGAACAACAGUUGGAAACGACUGCUAAUACCGCAUACGCCCUGAGGGGGAAAGGCUUCGGCCGCUCUUGGAUGAUCCCGCGUCUGAUUAGCUUGUUGGUGGGGUAACGGCCUACCAAGGCGACGAUCAGUAGCUGGUCUGAGAGGAUGAUCAGCCACACUGGGACUGAGACACGGCCCAGACUCCUACGGGAGGCAGCAGUGGGGAAUAUUGGACAAUGGGGGAAACCCUGAUCCAGCAAUGCCGCGUGAGUGAAGAAGGCCUGAGGGUUGUAAAGCACUUUCAAUACGUGAAGAAAAGUUAGCAGGCUAAUACCCUGUGACCUUGACGUUAACGAUACAAGAAGCACCGGCUAACUCCGUGCCAGCAGCCGCGGUAAAGU